UACGUAGGUGGCAAGCGUUGUCCGGAAUUAUUGGGCGUAAAGCGCGCGCAGGCGGUUCUUUAAGUCUGAUGUGAAAGCCCACGGCUCAACCGUGGAGGGUCAUUGGAAACUGGAGGACUUGAGUACAGAAGAGGAAAGCGGAAUUCCACGUGUAGCGGUGAAAUGCGUAGAGAUGUGGAGGAACACCAGUGGCGAAGGCGGCUUUCUGGUCUGUAACUGACGCUGAGGCGCGAAAGCGUGGGGAGCAAACAGG
Molecule: ribosomal RNA, 253 nt
Filed under: uncultured bacterium
Lineage: Bacteria
Description: partial 16S ribosomal RNA
Rfam family: Bacterial small subunit ribosomal RNA
Source: RNAcentral